UACGGGGGGAGCAAGCGUUGUUCGGAUUUACUGGGCGUAAAGGGCGCGUAGGCGGCCAGCACAAGUCAGUUGUGAAAUCUCCGGGCUUAACUCGGAAAGGUCAACUGAUACUGUGCGGCUAGAGUGCAGAAGGGGCAACUGGAAUUCUCGGUGUAGCGGUGAAAUGCGUAGAUAUCGAGAGGAACACCUGCGGCGAAGGCGGGUUGCUGGGCUGACACUGACGCUGAUGCGCGAAAGCCAGGGGAGCGAAGCGGG
RNAcentral lists this ribosomal RNA (255 nucleotides) under uncultured bacterium. RNAcentral describes it as "partial 16S ribosomal RNA". It matches the Rfam family "Bacterial small subunit ribosomal RNA", at positions 524 to 777 of the family's 1533-position model. The record is from RNAcentral.